RNAcentral lists this ribosomal RNA (253 nucleotides) under uncultured bacterium. RNAcentral's name for it is "partial 16S ribosomal RNA". It matches the Rfam family "Bacterial small subunit ribosomal RNA", at positions 524 to 776 of the family's 1533-position model. The record is from RNAcentral.
UACAGAGGUCUCAAGCGUUGUCCGGAUUCAUUGGGCGUAAAGAGCUCGUAGGCGGCUGCUCAAGUCGAAUGUGAAAACUCGAGGCUCAACCUCGAGCCUGCAUUCGAUACUGGGUGGCUAGAGUCUGGUAGGGGGAUCUGGAAUUCCUGGUGUAGCGGUGGAAUGCGCAGAUAUCAGGAGGAACACCGGUGGCGAAGGCGGGAUCCUGGGCCAGUACUGACGCUGAGGAGCGAAAGCGUGGGGAGCAAACAGG